Molecule: long non-coding RNA, 1308 nt
Filed under: Strigops habroptila (Kakapo)
Lineage: Eukaryota; Metazoa; Chordata; Aves; Psittaciformes; Psittacidae
Description: lncRNA (ENSSHBG00005020615.1)
Source: RNAcentral
GGCACAAAAGGCAGAUGGAAAUGUGUUGUGAAAACAAGCAUGUUUGCUGGGCUCAUAAUCAUUCACUUAAAAUUGCUUUUGUAAUAUGUAGUUUACAAAGUUAUAGGCAAAAUGUUUGGCAGAAUAGUUGUACUAUUUCUACAAUUCUUUCUGCUUUGUCUACUUUCUUAUAUAGGUCAGAUUUCAAACUUUUUGAGAGGGUGGGAACAGAUUUUCUGAUUUUCUCACAAUAUCUGAAAUGGUUUGUAUCUCUGCUUUGGUAGAAAAUCUGUUUUAAGUACAGAAGUGGUCCUGAGACAGAUCUCACUUAUGCUACUUACUCCUGUGAACCAGGAGCAAUUUCUCUAGAGUCAGGGAAGUUACAGUCAUUUGGUCCUACUGUAAAUGAAAUUGGAAUCAAGCCUUAAGUCUCCCCAAGCAAGUUUGUGAUGGCUCAAGCAUUUGUUUUAAUUUAAUAAUAAUUAGACAGUUACAGCUUAUCUAAAAAUUACAUUCACUUUUUUGCUGCUACAAGAAUACUAAAACCCCUGUCUGGCUACUCUGAGGUAUUGUAAUGCCUGUUCCAUCCAUUCCCUUUCAAAUGGCAAUGGCACCUGGGUGCAACACAGCAAUGAACUCCUCCAUUAGCUCCUCUUGCUCCUUUCCUGCCUGUGAAACUAAUCUACCUGUGCUAGUCCUAGUACUACGCAAUUAGUUUAGUGUAACAGUCAUCAAAAUGUACCGUGUACAUUAAAGAUGAGUGCUGUUGAUCAGCAUAGAUUUCUAGGAGCAUGGUUUUCUGUUUGUUAUGACUUUACAAAAAAAAAAUAAAAAAAUAAGUAAAUAAAACAAUGGCAUAAAAAUAUAGAAAAUUAAAAAAAAAAAAAAUUAAAAAAGCAGCUUCUCUGCUCUAGACUAGCUAGGAGCUCUAGAUGGCAGGAGCUACCUCUUCAAGACUGGGCUGUAUUUACAACUGUAAAAGAGAAAAUCUGAAACAAGCUUUCACGCAUUUGCAUGCAGCCAUUAUCUUCCAAACUAUGGAAAGAAACAGUCUUGUUGCUGGCCGAGAAGCACCUCACACACCUCCUCUCUCUUGUUCUGAAUGGUAUUUGUGUCAGUCUGCAGCUGUGUAUGGUAUUAUGUCUUAUAAUCUUGCAUCACUUCUAUUCUAUCCAGUCAUAUCUAAUGUAGAAAAUUAGUUUCAGUGAAGUAAUAUGUAGUGCUUUUAUGAUAUUUGUGUGCAAUAUCCCCUCUUCCAUUGAGGAUAUUUGAUGUAAAAGAAACAAACUCAGUUCCACAAUAAAAUACAAAGUGGUAAAGUGGUGUUGA